AAAAAAAAAAAGAUUAAUACCCGAUAUAAAGGAUGGGGAUGCGUUCCAUUAGGUUGUUGGAGAGGUAACGGCUCACCAAGCAUUCGAUGGAUAGUGGUUCUGAUAGGAAGUUCCCCCACAGUGGAACUGAGACACGGUCCAAACUCGUACGGGACGCAGCAGUGAGGAAUAUUGGGCAAUGGGCGCUAGCCUGAACCAGCAAGGUAGCGUGAAGGAUGAAGGCUUAUGUGGCGUAAACUUCUUUGAUAUAAGAAUAGGUAUUAUAUGAAUAAGGAUCGGCUAACUCCGUGCCAGCAGCCGCGGUAAUUC
This 309-nucleotide ribosomal RNA is filed under the name uncultured bacterium. RNAcentral's name for it is "partial 16S ribosomal RNA". It matches the Rfam family "Bacterial small subunit ribosomal RNA", at positions 193 to 526 of the family's 1533-position model. The record is from RNAcentral.